AGCGAACGCUGGCGGCAGGCUUAACACAUGCAAGUCGAGCGGGCACUUUCGGGUGUCAGCGGCGGACGGGUGAGUAACGCGUGGGAACGUGCCCUCUGGUCCGGAAUAACUCAGGGAAACUUGAGCUAAUACCGGAUACGCCCUUUUGGGGAAAGGCUUGCUGCCGGAGGAUCGGCCCGCGUCUGAUUAGCUAGUUGGUGAGGUAACGGCUCACCAAGGCGACGAUCAGUAGCUGGUCUGAGAGGAUGAUCAGCCACACUGGGACUGAGACACGGCCCAGACUCUUACGGGAGGAAGCAGUGGGGAAUAUUGGACAAGGGGCGCAAGCCUGAUCCAGCCAUGCCGCGUGAGUGAUCAAGGCCUUAGGGUUGUAAAGCUCUUUUAUCCGGGACGAUAAUGACGGUACCGGAGGAAUAAGCCCCGGCUAACUUCGUG
RNAcentral lists this ribosomal RNA (435 nucleotides) under uncultured bacterium. RNAcentral describes it as "partial 16S ribosomal RNA". It matches the Rfam family "Bacterial small subunit ribosomal RNA", at positions 29 to 507 of the family's 1533-position model. The record is from RNAcentral.